Molecule: ribosomal RNA, 154 nt
Filed under: uncultured Flexibacteraceae bacterium
Lineage: Bacteria; Pseudomonadati; Bacteroidota; Cytophagia; Cytophagales; Cytophagaceae
Description: partial 16S ribosomal RNA
Rfam family: Bacterial small subunit ribosomal RNA
Source: RNAcentral
UAGGGAAUAUUGGACAAUGGGCGAGAGCCUGAACCAGCCAUGCCGCGUGAAGGAUGAAGGCCUUCUGGGUUGUAAACUUCUUUUAUAUAGGAAGAAAAAGGUCAUGCGUGACCAAUUGACGGUACUAUAUGAAUAAGCACCGGCUAACUCCGUG